Molecule: ribosomal RNA, 233 nt
Filed under: uncultured bacterium
Lineage: Bacteria
Description: partial 16S ribosomal RNA
Rfam family: Bacterial small subunit ribosomal RNA
Source: RNAcentral
CGGGUGAGUAACGCGUGAGGAACCUGCCUCAAAGAGGGGGACAACAGUUGGAAACGACUGCUAAUACCGCAUAAGCCCACGGCUCGGCAUCGAGCAGAGGGAAAAGGAGCAAUCCGCUUUGAGAUGGCCUCGCGUCCGAUUAGCUAGUUGGUGAGGUAAUGGCCCACCAAGGCGACGAUCGGUAGCCGGACUGAGAGGUUGAACGGCCACAUUGGGACUGAGACACGGUCCAG